RNAcentral lists this non-coding RNA (187 nucleotides) under Platyophrya macrostoma. Lineage: Eukaryota; Ciliophora; Colpodea; Cyrtolophosidida; Platyophryidae. The record is from RNAcentral.
AAAAAAAAAAAAAAAGGUGCAUGGAACGUGAAGCAAAUGAGUGCAUGUGUCUCUUGUUUUCAAGAUGUACUGUGUCGCUCGGGUCGGUGAGUGCAUAACACCUUUUUAUUGUUUUUGUUUUGUGUGACACUUUUCUUGAUCCCAACUCACACACUACUCGUCAAAAAAGACGAGUAUGUGUGGGGUG